GUUAAGGGAAAAGGAAAAGGUAGGGGACGAGGCGACGUCGACGGGACGACGAAGGGGAGGGGGAGGAGCGGCUCCGCGGAGUGCUCGCGGCGCUCCCUCCACCGAUCAUGCCGCUCCGCAGCGCGGUCGUGCUCGCGGCGCUCCAGUUUCCCGUCGUCGUCCGUUAUGCAGCUCCGCGUCGUUGGCGUGCCCGAGGCACUCAAGGUCCCGGCCUUCGUCGGUUAUGCCGCUCCGCCACGGACAGACCGCCGGCAUGCCGGAGGCGGCGCACGCGCUGGAACGAGGACGCGGAGGAUGGGCCCGACCUGGAGGGGGCACGCAGCAGGGGUGGGCGUAGUGGUUCGAAGGGUUGUCGCAGGCGCUGAGGCGCAGCGGAGGCUCCUACAGGUCCCUCGUCGUGUCCCUACCGCUUAAACCGACGAGACGAGACUACUACGGCAGUCUCGUGUUGAACGAGCAAAAGUCGUACUCCUUCUUCUACUAGAUUUACAAAACCUUCCUGAUUAGGUCACUCCUACCACCUGUUCUUUUAUAUCUUCCUUACACAUACAGUUUUGACUUCUUUUCGUCUGGUGGAACCACCGAGACAAGAGUGUUUCUUCUAACAAAUGACAAGGUGUGUUUUAGCCUAAAAACGGUCGUUGAGUAGGUGGAACCAGAGUAGAAAGCAACUGCUGCCUCGUAGUGCAUCGUCAUAGAGACGCUUUUAGGUAUCUUCAUAGCCUUGGCCGACACCUAUACCCUUUUUCUUUUAGGGAUUUUACGUAGAGACUUUGUUACCGUAAAAAAAUCACUUACUUGAUUCUUAUCGUCAAGUAAAUAUAAGACAUCCCCCUAUCGUCCACGGUGACAAGGUCUUACAUGAUUAAGAGACUUUUAACUAAACAAAGACAUCGUUCAACAGCAUACUUAAAGUUUUUC
Molecule: ribosomal RNA, 921 nt
Filed under: Triticum aestivum (bread wheat)
Lineage: Eukaryota; Viridiplantae; Streptophyta; Magnoliopsida; Poales; Poaceae
Description: partial small subunit ribosomal RNA
Source: RNAcentral